RNAcentral lists this ribosomal RNA (497 nucleotides) under uncultured bacterium. RNAcentral describes it as "partial 16S ribosomal RNA". It matches the Rfam family "Bacterial small subunit ribosomal RNA", at positions 28 to 507 of the family's 1533-position model. The record is from RNAcentral.
GAUGAACGCUGGCGGCGUGCCUAAUACAUGCAAGUCGAGCGAACGGACGAGAAGCUUGCUUCUCUGAUGUUAGCGGCGGACGGGUGAGUAACACGUGGAUAACCUACCUAUAAGACUGGGAUAACUUCGGGAAACCGGAGCUAAUACCGGAUAAUAUUUUGAACCGCAUGGUUCAGAAGUGAAAGACGGUCUUGCUGUCACUUAUAGAUGGAUCCGCGCUGCAUUAGCUAGUUGGUAAGGUAACGGCUUACCAAGGCAACGAUGCAUAGCCGACCUGAGAGGGUGAUCGGCCACACUGGAACUGAGACACGGUCCAGACUCCUACGGGAGGCAGCAGUAGGGAAUCUUCCGCAAUGGGCGAGAGCCUGACGGAGCAACGCCGCGUGAGUGAUGAAGGUCUUCGGAUCGUAAAACUCUGUUAUUAGGGAAGAACAUAUGUGUAAGUAACUGUGCACAUCUUGACGGUACCUAAUCAGAAAGCCACGGCUAACUACGUG